This 473-nucleotide ribosomal RNA is filed under the name uncultured bacterium. RNAcentral describes it as "partial 16S ribosomal RNA". It matches the Rfam family "Bacterial small subunit ribosomal RNA", at positions 28 to 507 of the family's 1533-position model. The record is from RNAcentral.
GAUGAACGCUAGCGGCAGGCCUAAUGCAUGCAAGUCGAACGGGUGGUCGCAAGACCACUAGUGGCGCACGGGUGCGUAACGCGUAACCAACCUGCCCCGAUCUGGGGGAUAGCCCGCCGAAAGGCGGAUUAAUACCGCAUAUACCCGCAGCCUGGCAUCAGGCAACGGGGAAAGAUUUAUUGGAUCGGGAUGGGGUUGCGUGACAUUAGCUAGUUGGCGGGGUAAGGGCCCACCAAGGCGACGAUGUCUAGGGGACCUGAGAGGGUGAUCCCCCACACUGGCACUGAGAUACGGGCCAGACUCCUACGGGAGGCAGCAGUAGGGAAUAUUGGGCAAUGGGCGAGAGCCUGACCCAGCCAUGCCGCGUGCCGGAUGAAGGCCUUCUGGGUUGUAAACGGCUUUUCUCAGGGAAGAAAAAGACCUUGCGAGGUACACUGACGGUACCUGAGGAAUAAGCACCGGCUAACUCCGUG